UCAUAUGUACAUGCCUACAAUGUCAAUGCACUGAAUCCCAUUGGAAUAUGCAAUUAAGCGUGCUUGGGCUAGAGUAGUACUGGGAUGGGUGACCUCCCAGGAAGCGCUAGUGUUUUACAUGCC
Non-coding RNA from Picea glauca (white spruce), 123 nucleotides. The record is from Rfam. Lineage: Eukaryota; Viridiplantae; Streptophyta; Pinopsida; Pinales; Pinaceae.